GGAGAGAUGGCCGAGCGGUUUAAGGCGAUAGUCUUGAAAACUAUUGUGGGAGAAAUUCCACCGGGGGUUCGAAUCCCUCUCUCUCCGCCA
Molecule: transfer RNA, 90 nt
Filed under: Candidatus Endomicrobiellum devescovinae
Lineage: Bacteria; Pseudomonadati; Elusimicrobiota; Endomicrobiia; Endomicrobiales; Endomicrobiaceae
Description: tRNA-Ser
Rfam family: tRNA
About the family: Transfer RNA (tRNA) molecules are approximately 80 nucleotides in length.
Source: RNAcentral